ACGUAGGGUCCGAGCGUUGUCCGGAAUUACUGGGCGUAAAGCGUGCGUAGGUGGUUUGUUAAGUCUGCUGUGAAAGCCCCGGGCUCAACCUGGGAAUGGCAGUGGAUACUGGCAAGCUAGAGUGCGGUAGAGGGGUGUGGAAUUCCCGGUGUAGCGGUGAAAUGCGUAGAGAUCGGGAGGAACACCAGUGGCGAAGGCGGCACCCUGGACCAGCACUGACACUGAGGCACGAAAGCGUGGGGAGCAAACAGGA
Molecule: ribosomal RNA, 253 nt
Filed under: uncultured prokaryote
Description: partial 16S ribosomal RNA
Rfam family: Bacterial small subunit ribosomal RNA
Source: RNAcentral